Molecule: long non-coding RNA, 269 nt
Filed under: Gallus gallus (chicken)
Lineage: Eukaryota; Metazoa; Chordata; Aves; Galliformes; Phasianidae
Description: long non-coding RNA NONGGAT006556
Source: RNAcentral
UUAGCAUCCUGCAUCCCAUUCCCACAUCCCAUUCCUGCAUCCCAAUCCUUCAUUGUGUUCACCAUCCCACAUCCCAUUCCCUCAUCCUAUUCCUGCAUCCCGUUCCCACAUCCCAUUCCUGCAUCCCAAUCCUGCAUCCCAACCCUGCAUCACGUUCAGCAUCCCGCAUCCCCUUCCUCCAUCCCAGUCCCUCAUCCCCUUCCUCCAUCCCAGUCCCGCAUCCCGUUCCUGCAUCCCAAUCCCACAUCCCGUUCAGCAUCCCGCAUGCC